AUCCUCACUUUGGCAGCAUAUGCACCAAAAUUAGAACAAUACAGAGAAGGUUAGCAUGGCCCCUAUGCAAGGAUGACACAUGAGUUUGUGAAGCAGCCUAUUGUUUU
Molecule: small nuclear RNA, 107 nt
Organism: Suricata suricatta (meerkat)
Lineage: Eukaryota; Metazoa; Chordata; Mammalia; Carnivora; Herpestidae
Source: Ensembl